UGGGGUCAGUGUGGAGCUACAGUGUCUGGAUCUCAGAGCUGUGUUCAGCCUGGACGCCUCCAUCCAUCCUCCAUCCAUUCAUCCUCCAUUCAUCAUCCAUCCAUCUCUGAGAGGAGCCGAGAGUUGUGGGAGGUGGGGUGGGGGGUCCGUGUUGGGUGUCUACCGUCCACCGCCCCGACACCCCGACUCCCCACAGCUCUAAUUGAUGCUUUGUCCGGGCACGUCCUGACUCGUUAGAGCCCUGAGCCCCCCAGGCCGGAACAAAUCCAACAUGGCAUCCGCACUCAGAUGCACUUCAUCCAUACGACUGUGUGAGGCUUUAACCUGAAGGCCGUCGUCACGCCGCUACGAGUCCAGGGCUUUCUGGUGUUGAUGAUACUGCAUCAGGAACUGAUUGGACAGUGACCAGAGGCCAUCAGUUCCUGAUGCACUGCCUUCAGCAUUAAAAGAGGCUCCACAUGUCAAGAGAUGGAGGAAACGGAGGCUGUGACCCCACCAGGAAAGUCUGGAUGAUGUCCGUCAGUCCGUCAGUGAAACCAGACACUGACUCCUCAUCUCAUCUCUAAAUGAGUUUAAUAACUUUUGGAUCAAAUCCACUCCCUGAGGAGUGUUAAUGCUCCUGUAGACACUGAUCAGCUGUUAGUGAAAGGAGCUCACAGACUCACACACUCAGAGACUCACUCAUAUGUAGAAAAAAUUUCAUUUCCCUGAAUAAAUAAAAGUGUAAUGUUUCUGUCCCA
Molecule: long non-coding RNA, 740 nt
Organism: Mugil cephalus (flathead mullet)
Lineage: Eukaryota; Metazoa; Chordata; Actinopteri; Mugiliformes; Mugilidae
Exons: 3
Source: RefSeq, a predicted model, not a curated record